AUCGAACGCUGGCGGCAGGCUUAACACAUGCAAGUCGAGCGGGGUGAUGGUGCUUGCACUAUCACUUAGCGGCGGACGGGUGAGUAAUGCUUAGGAAUCUGCCUAUUAGUGGGGGACAACAUCUCGAAAGGGAUGCUAAUACCGCAUACGUCCUACGGGAGAAAGCAGGGGAUCACUUGUGACCUUGCGCUAAUAGAUGAGCCUAAGUCGGAUUAGCUAGUUGGUGGGGUAAAGGCCUACCAAGGCGACGAUCAGUAGCGGGUCUGAGAGGAUGAUCCGCAACACUGGGACUGAGACACGGACCAGACUCCUACGGGAGGCAGCAGUGGGGAAUAUUGGACAAUGGGGGGAACCCUGAUCAGCCAUGCCGCGUGUGUGAAGAAGGCCUUAUGGUUGUAAAGCACUUUAAGCGAGGAGGAGGCUCUUUUGGUUAAUACCCAAGAUGAGUGGACGUUACUCGCAGAAUAAGCACCGGCUAACUCUGUGCCAGCCGCCGCUGUAA
Molecule: ribosomal RNA, 502 nt
Filed under: uncultured bacterium
Lineage: Bacteria
Description: partial 16S ribosomal RNA
Rfam family: Bacterial small subunit ribosomal RNA
Source: RNAcentral